GGCCAUUAAACUGGUGGGGCUUCCUCAUCUCAUGAAGACCCAAGUCCUGGAAAGAAAGAAGCUAUGAAGCGUUGACUGAAGAUAUUUUGCCUUUUCAGACUGAGAGGUCUGCCAGCCGGGGCAGUCGCUGGAUCCACAGCUCCCCACCUAAGGACAAGGUGGGACUGCUGGAAACAAUCAUUGGAUUCUCAGCAUUUUCACUGGCACUUCUGGGACCAGCGGGAUGGUUCCUGUGCCACCUUUCAAGCUAUAAAAAGAAAUAGAAAACAUCCCUUAAAAAUUA
Molecule: long non-coding RNA, 283 nt
Filed under: Parus major (Great Tit)
Lineage: Eukaryota; Metazoa; Chordata; Aves; Passeriformes; Paridae
Description: lncRNA (ENSPMJG00000016942.1)
Source: RNAcentral